This 78-nucleotide small RNA is filed under the name Flavobacterium collinsii. Its description in RNAcentral is "Flavo-1". It matches the Rfam family "Flavo-1 RNA". Lineage: Bacteria; Pseudomonadati; Bacteroidota; Flavobacteriia; Flavobacteriales; Flavobacteriaceae. The record is from RNAcentral.
CCCUAGCCCUGAUGGUAGCGGCAUCCUUUUUCUGGCUCCUUUAGCCAGGAAAAGAUAUAGCGGACAGCAGGAAACAGC